GUAGGGAAUCUUGCGCAAUGGGCGAAAGCCUGACGCAGCCAUGCCGCGUGAAUGAUGAAGGUCUUAGGAUUGUAAAAUUCUUUCACCGGGGACGAUAAUGACGGUACCCGGAGAAGAAGCUCCGGCUAACUUCGUGCCAGCAGCCGCGGUAAUACGAAGGGGGCUAGCGUUGCUCGGAAUUACUGGGCGUAAAGGGCGCGUAGGCGGAUAUUUAAGUCGGGGGUGAAAGCCCGGGGCUCAACCUCGGAAUAGCCUUCGAUACUGGAUAUCUUGAGUACGGGAGAGGUGUGUGGAACUCCGAGUGUAGAGGUGAAAUUCGUAGAUAUUCGGAAGAACGCCAGUGGCGAAGGCGACACACUGGCCCGUUACUGACGCUGAGGCGCGAAAGCGUGGGGAGCAAACAGGAUUAGAAACCCCGGUAGUCC
Molecule: ribosomal RNA, 425 nt
Filed under: uncultured bacterium
Lineage: Bacteria
Description: partial 16S ribosomal RNA
Rfam family: Bacterial small subunit ribosomal RNA
Source: RNAcentral